GACGAACGCUGGCGGCGUGCUUAACACAUGCAAGUCGAACGGAAAGGCCCUGCUUUUGUGGGGUGCUCGAGUGGCGAACGGGUGAGUAACACGUGAGUAACCUGCCCUUGACUUUGGGAUAACUUCAGGAAACUGGGGCCAAUAUCGGAUAGGAGCUCCUGCUGCAUGGUGGGGGUUGGAACGUUCCGGCGGUUGGGGAUGGACGCGCGGCUUAUCAGCUUGUUGGUGGGGUAGUGGCUUACCAAGGCUUUGACGGGUAGCCGGCCUGGGAGGGUGACCGGCCACAUGGGGACUAAGAGACGGCCCAGACUCCUACGGGAGGCAGCAGUGGGGAGUAUUGCACAAUGGGCGGACGCGUAAUGCAGCAGCGCCGCGUGCGGGAUGACGGCCUUCGGGUUGUAAACCGCUUUCGCCUGUGGCGAAGCGUGAGUGACGGUAAUGGGUGAAGAAGCACCGGCUAACUACGUG
Molecule: ribosomal RNA, 468 nt
Filed under: uncultured bacterium
Lineage: Bacteria
Description: partial 16S ribosomal RNA
Rfam family: Bacterial small subunit ribosomal RNA
Source: RNAcentral